AAAACUAACCCCGAACACCUAAACGCUCAUUGUAAGCACCCACUGAAUUGGCUCAAUGUCUGUUGUAGGCCGUAAUCAGUAAAACAGUACGUAAUGAAAAUAUUGUCUACGACUACUGCUACGGCCUACAACUCUCCAUUGUAGAUGGCCCUUUAAACGCUGUGUAAUUCUUGAUGCGUAAAGUUAACCGCGCGAGAGAGAGACAAAGCCAUUUUACUCCAUCUUUUUGUAUAGCACUUUCAGAACGCAACGGACGCAGGAUGGACCGGGACCGGAGCAAAUAUGGCAUCGCGAAUCUCUUAAUUGGUGAUAUAUAUCAAUCAUACGUAAUUGUAAUUCGUUUGAACGCGUAUCUGUCAAUAUACUUGUUCGAGCGAAGAUCGCGAUUCGUAGCGACAUGUCAAUCGUGAUACGCAAAGAUCGAGGCAGUUCUGACAUGGACCGGUGCCGGGAAGCAAAUGUCGCGCCAUAUCUAUCUACUUGAAUGCGACGAACGCAGAAUGAAUCGAUUCCGGGACGAAUGGCAUUGCAAAUUACUUAAUUGAUCGUGACAAUCGACAUGGAUCGGUUCCGGGGCGGAUGACAUCGCGAUAUUUAUUUGGUAAGUAGCAUUUACAUUGCAGUACUUAAUUCAAGAGAUUUCGGUACGAGGAGCAGCGAUAUUGAGGAAACUAA
Monomorium pharaonis (pharaoh ant) is the source of this 675-nucleotide long non-coding RNA. RefSeq lists it as uncharacterized. The record is from RefSeq and is a predicted model, not a curated record. The transcript has 4 exons. NCBI's taxonomy places the organism in Eukaryota, Metazoa, Arthropoda, Insecta, Hymenoptera, Formicidae.